GACGAACGCUGGCGGCGUGCUUAACACAUGCAAGUCGAGCGGUAAGGCCCUUCGGGGUACCCGAGCGGCGAACGGGUGAGUAACACGUGAGUAAUCUGCCCAUCACUUCGGGAUAACUCCGGGAAACCGGUGCUAAUACCGAAUAUGACCACUUCAGGCAUCUGAUGGUGGUGGAAAGUUCCGGCGGUGAUGGAUGAGCUCGCGGCCUAUCAGCUUGUUGGUGGGGUAGUGGCCUACCAAGGCUUCGACGGGUAGCCGGCCUGGGAGGGUGACCGGCCACACUGGGACUGAGACACGGCCCAGACUCCUACGGGAGGCAGCAGUGGGGAAUAUUGGACAAUGGGCGAAAGCCUGAUCCAGCAACGCCGCGUGAGGGAUGACGGCCUUCGGGUUGUAAACCUCUUUCAGCAGGGACGAAGCGCAAGUGACGGUACCUGCAGAAGAAGCACCGGCCAACUACGUG
This 463-nucleotide ribosomal RNA is filed under the name uncultured bacterium. Its description in RNAcentral is "partial 16S ribosomal RNA". It matches the Rfam family "Bacterial small subunit ribosomal RNA", at positions 28 to 507 of the family's 1533-position model. The record is from RNAcentral.